RNAcentral lists this long non-coding RNA (315 nucleotides) under Struthio camelus australis. Its description in RNAcentral is "lncRNA (ENSSCUG00000012937.1)". Lineage: Eukaryota; Metazoa; Chordata; Aves; Struthioniformes; Struthionidae. The record is from RNAcentral.
UGGCCGUCUGACCUCGGCAAAUACACGUUUAAUACCGCCGUGAACCGAAGUCUGCCGCUCAGAUUCCCGCUGCUUUGCUAUGCCCUUAGACUGCUCGCGCCUGCAGAUUAUUUAGCUGCAAAGGGCACCAGCUUGCAGGGAUCCCAGCAAGGAGGACCAGCAGCAGCAGCCAUAACUUCAGACUUCCUGUACAACCACCAGCAAGCUGACCAGUCAGGCUUUGUUCAGUUUCCACAUCUGUAAAAUCAGCUCAAAACAUGAAGGAGAUUCUGAGUUUUAUUUAAAAAUAAAAUUGUUGCAGUCAUCUUUUUUGCA